This 73-nucleotide transfer RNA is filed under the name Pseudotrapelus sinaitus (Sinai agama). RNAcentral's name for it is "tRNA-Leu". Lineage: Eukaryota; Metazoa; Chordata; Lepidosauria; Squamata; Agamidae. The record is from RNAcentral.
CUUGGUGCAGCAGAAUCAGGCUUUGCGGGAGCCCUAAACACUCCUGUUAGACGUUCAAAUCGUCUCACCAACA